This 380-nucleotide ribosomal RNA is filed under the name uncultured eukaryote. Its description in RNAcentral is "partial 18S ribosomal RNA". It matches the Rfam family "Eukaryotic small subunit ribosomal RNA", at positions 592 to 976 of the family's 1831-position model. The record is from RNAcentral.
CAAUAGCGUAUAUUAAAGUUGUUGCAGUUAAAAAGCUCGUAGUUGGAUUUGUGGCGUACGGUGGGUUCCGGGCACUUGUUGUCUGAGUAACUUGCUGUUGCCAUCCUUGGGUGGAACCUGUGUGGCAUUAGGUUGUCGUGCAGGGGAUGCCCAUCAUUUACUGUGAAAAAAUUAGAGUGUUCAAAGCAGGCUUGUGCCGUUGAAUAUAUUAGCAUGGAAUAAUGAGAUAGGACUUUUUUGCUAUUUUGUUGGUUUGCGCAAAGAGGUAAUGAUUAAUAGGGACAGUUGGGGGUAUUCGUAUUCCAUUGUCAGAGGUGAAAUUCUUGGAUUUUUGGAAGACGAACUACUGCGAAAGCAUUUACCAAGGAUGUUUUCAUUAA